Molecule: ribosomal RNA, 440 nt
Filed under: uncultured bacterium
Lineage: Bacteria
Description: partial 16S ribosomal RNA
Rfam family: Bacterial small subunit ribosomal RNA
Source: RNAcentral
CCUACGGGGGGCAGCAGUGGGGAAUAUUGCACAAUGGGGGAAACCCUGAUGCAGCGACGCCGCGUGAGUGAGGAAGUAUUUCGGUAUGUAAAGCUCUAUCAGCAGGGAAGAAAAUGACGGUACCUGACUAAGAAGCCCCGGCUAACUACGUGCCAGCAGCCGCGGUAAUACGUAGGGGGCAAGCGUUAUCCGGAUUUACUGGGUGUAAAGGGAGCGUAGACGGAAUUGCAAGUCUGAUGUGAAAAUCCGGGGCCCAACCCCGGAACUGCAUUGGAAACUGUAUUUCUAGAGUGUCGGAGAGGCAAGUGGAAUUCCUGGUGUAGCGGUGAAAUGCGUAGAUAUUCGGAGGAACACCGGUGGCGAAGGCGGCCAACUGGGCUUUAACUGACGCUGAGGCUCGAAAGUGUGGGGAGCAAACAGGAUUAGAUACCCCAGUAGUC